This 327-nucleotide ribosomal RNA is filed under the name uncultured eukaryote. RNAcentral describes it as "partial 18S ribosomal RNA". It matches the Rfam family "Eukaryotic small subunit ribosomal RNA", at positions 1470 to 1796 of the family's 1831-position model. The record is from RNAcentral.
CCCUUAGAUGUUCUGGGCCGCACGCGCGCUACACUGAUGCAUGCAACAAGUCUUUUCCUUGGCCGAGAGGCCUGGGCAAUCUUUGAAUAUGCAUCGUGAUGGGGAUAGACGAUUGCAAUUAUUCGUCUUCAACGAGGAAUUCCUAGUAAACGCAAGUCAUCGGCUUGCAUUGAUUACGUCCCUGCCCUUUGUACACACCGCCCGUCGCACCUACCGAUUGAAUGGUCCGGUGAAGGCUUCGGAGGCGGCUUUCUCAAUGUUUAUUCGGCGAGACUGCUGCCAAAGUUGAAUGAACCUUACCAUUUAGAGGAAGGUGAAGUCGUAACA